Long non-coding RNA from Gallus gallus (chicken), 1409 nucleotides. NCBI's taxonomy places the organism in Eukaryota, Metazoa, Chordata, Aves, Galliformes, Phasianidae. The record is from Ensembl.
UUCUCUCUCCAGAGCUCUUAUCAGCACAGAUGCAGCUGAGCUGGGAUUACUAGCAUUUGUUUCUGGAGGAACAGAAAGACCUUCCCCUGUUGGAGAAAUGAUCUGAACUCAAUGUUUUCUCUUGGAGGGGUUUAUUACACGAUAACACAGAUUAUUUUUUUUCUCCAGCAUACAUAUAUGCCCAAUAAGUGUGUCAGAACAGAAAGUGGCAGACACCAGUUCUGCCAUGUUUAUUUUAAGCUAAAGUAAUUGUACAAAAUUUGGCUGUAGUGCCACAGCAGAAGGUCAGCAGAGAGUAAGAUUAGUCCAAGUCAACAAAGGGGAAGUAGUUACUUAGAUAAAAUCAUCAGUACUCAGUCAGUUAAUCUAUCCUCCCAGUAAACAGGAUUCAUCUUGCACCUCUUACUUUGGUCCCUGCCCUUGCCAACUGCCCCUUGCCUCUUUCUGAUGCUAAAGGAGUCCACUUCCCAGCUGUGGUGCAAUCCUUGAGGUUUUAGCUGAAAAUAAACUUAUCAAAUGCAAAAAGCUGAAUAAACAAUAUUGGAAGAUGUGAGAUUCAUAGAACAUUCACUAGAGAUGUUUUAACAUGAGAUGGUACCAGUCAAGUCAUGCUUUGAGAGAAUGAAUUCUAAAAACAUGGGGCAUAUAAACCAUUGAAUAGGCAAAACUAAGGCUUCAAUAGCUCAAUAUGGGGACCUUUGUGUUAGAGAAUUGUUAAAGACAAUUUCAAAGUUAGAGAGAAAUAUUCAUGUGGCAUCAGUAUGGACAAUCCUAGCAAGGUAGAGUUCAUGCAGGGAAUAUUUGGAUCCAUGUAAAGGCAAGAAUAAGGAAGGCAUUGCCUUUGAAGAUAACUGUGAAAAACGCCAUUCAACUUCCAUCAACUGACUUAAAUCUCAGUAGUUUAUAUACUUGUUAAGAUUCAGCUAAAGUCAAUAUCCAUCUACUGCUAAAUUUAUGAUUAUGCAUAUUUCUUCCAAGCAACAGGGAAAACCAAAACAGGUUUCUAUGAACUUUGGAAAAUGCCAUCUGUGUGACUUCCUUAUAACUCUAUGCAGACAUAGAGAGUUGAGACGAUUCACCUGUGGAGAUAUGUGGAGCCCAUGUUAAAUAAGGAGCCACUGAAAUGAGAAAUUAUCUGUAAGAAUAUCCAUACCCACAGUUUGCCACCGCAUUAUUGUGAAGAAAAUAAAAUUCUGUAAAAUGAACAGCCUUUUGUAAAGUAGGUAUGAUUCUAAUCCUGCAGCCUUUGUGUAACAGUUUAAAUUACAAUCCUGAUUUUGUAUUUCUCUAACAGCCUUCAGAAAACAGAACUGAAAGAGCAGAAGAGAGCUGUGAAAUUCAGAAAUCCCAAAGUCAUUACUAUAUAAUUGCAGGAGACCAAUAAAAUAUUGUUCUGCUACUGUUAAUAA